Cucumis melo (muskmelon) is the source of this 1649-nucleotide long non-coding RNA. RefSeq lists it as uncharacterized. The record is from RefSeq and is a predicted model, not a curated record. The transcript has 3 exons. Lineage: Eukaryota; Viridiplantae; Streptophyta; Magnoliopsida; Cucurbitales; Cucurbitaceae.
ACUUUUAAUGGCCGAGGAAGUCGUGUAUUUGCUUCACCCAACUUGUUUACUCGUAAAUGCAAUAAGGAUAUUCGUUCUAUAUCCACCAACAAAGUCCUCACCUCGCUACGAAUGUAGAAGCUGAUGCCAUACAGUUUGUUCUCCUCCUGUUUUUCCUAUACAUUUGUGUACUAUCUUCUUUGUUUGGAAAUUUCUUGGGUUAAUUGAGUUCAUUAAAUAAUAUUGCUAAGUUUGUUUAUGUUUGUUCAUGUGUUUCUUAGACAAGGUAUUUAUAAAUGAUUAUUUUACUUGUGUUUUUUAAGAUUCAGUCUUUCUCUCAUGAACAUCAGGCUAAGAAUCUUUCUUCCCACGAAGAGAUUCACUUGACGAAUUCCGUGAGAUCGGUGUCAACAAGACUUGAGCCUCUUACUGAUAAACUAACUAGUUUUGGAAACAUUCAUUUUGAUGUAGUCAAGAGUAAAGGAUUGAGCUCCAUAAAAAAGUCUAUCGAAGGAAAUCUGCUAUUCCUUCAUAUGUGGAACGAUGUGCUUGUGUUGUUGUGUGUAAUUGCGACCUUACUGGACCCUUUGUUCUGUUACAUCCUAAUAGUGGAUAAAGAGAAAAGCUGUAUCGAGUUUGACAAUAAGUUAAUGGUCAUGGUUGUAGUUUUACGUUCGCUUGUUGAUUUUGGUUCAUACUUCUCAUUGUUUUUCAUUUUCUUAUUGGUUAUACUGCUCCGAAUGAUGCAAAUAGUGGAAGACUUUGCACAUUAGCUAUAAGAUAUCUUUUAUCUUACUUUAUCAUUGACGUUCUUGCUGUUCUUCCUCUCCUACAAAUUUGGACUAUUAUUCUGCCUAAGUAUAGUAUUCGGAACAUUAAAGUAAUAUAUGUUAUCUAGUGACAUGUGAGAAAACAUGUGUGCAGGUGGUGGUUCUAAUAGUCACUCAAGGAACAAAAGUUUAUCCUUUAAUUGCUAUAAGGUCAUUGAAAUUUAUCCUUAUAUUUCAGUCUUUGCCAAGGGUGUCUCGAGUUUACUCAUUCUUAUAGAAAGUUAGAUGGAGUUCUGGAAUUUUGCCCGACUCUGCUGGGGUCAAGGCUGUAUUCAAUCUCUUCCUGUAUAUGCUUGCAAGUCAUGUCUUUGAAGCCUUUUGGUACUUGUUUUCUGUUGAGCGUAAAGCAUCUGCGUGCAAAUAAGGUGUCAUAGUCAUCCAUAUUGCUCUCGGAUGAAUAACAACUCUUUUGAGAGAUCAUGCAUAAAUGAUGUUUGCUUUGGAACAACAUCAUCAAAUGUUACAACAGCUUUAGAUUAUGGAAUAUUUGAUGAUGCCUUGAAUUUCGGCGUUGUCUCUUCGACUGAUUUAGUAUGGAAGUUCUCUUAUUGUUGUUGGUGGGGUCUGCAGAAUCUAAGUUCUUUGGGUCAAGGCCUCAAAACUAGCAAGCACUACAGGAAAAAAGGUCUACGAUAGCUGACGAAAAAUGUUAUCGUAAACAUUUUAUAGCGUUUAACAAAAAAGUUGUGUCAGCCCACGUUAUUAAAAGUUUGGAUUUUUAAAAGCGUUUUUCCAAAGCUAUAAAAAGUGUACAUUUUUAUAGCGUUUUAUGUAGAUUAUGAAAACAACUUUGUAAUAGCAAUUUUCUAUUUAUAUCAUUUAUGAUAGCAUUUUCUUAAA